CCAAUCUUUGUUACCUUCAAAACAAUUUAGGUUUAACUAUAAAAAUUAAAAAAUUCCUCAUAAUUAAUUCACUCAUUUCUGCUUACAAAUUAAAAUAGGGGACAAGCCCCUUUUCUUUUCUUCAAUUUUUUAUUUAAAUGAGGAAGAAGAUGAUAUGAAAGAAGCGCAAAUGGUGCCGCCGCGUGUGAUUUUAGGAAGGAGAAUCGCCGGGAAAAAGGCGUUUUCCGUUUGUACCGGCAAUGGAAGCGAUUCGGGUCAUGUUGGGAAAUCGAUUCUUAGAAUGACUGGAUUCUGGAGGCAUAAUCUCAACUAUUCUUCUUUUGAUUUUCAUUUCAGAAUUUUGACAGAAAAGAUUGGGACUAAAAUGAUAUAUUUUUUCUUAAAUUAUGCGGGAAAUAAGAAAUAAUUACCGUUUACAAUCAUCUGUGUAAUUAAUUAUACAAAUUUUAAAAAUAAAAUAUUAAAUUGUAAACAAAAUUUCAAAAUUAAUAUGAGCAGAAUAAGGCGA
RNAcentral lists this long non-coding RNA (508 nucleotides) under Gossypium barbadense (sea-island cotton). Its description in RNAcentral is "long non-coding RNA (GBAR_LNC018949)". Lineage: Eukaryota; Viridiplantae; Streptophyta; Magnoliopsida; Malvales; Malvaceae. The record is from RNAcentral.